GAUCUCACACUUGUCGCCGCAUGAAGCAAAAUGCAUACACUCCAAAACGUGGCAUCGAAGUUGACUACAAGAGUCUGACGUCAUCCAGAGUCUGAAGUUUAUCAGAGUCUGAAGUUAAGAAGCUAGAGUUAGUUAAAGUUGGUUAUUUUGAAGAAGGAAUAGAAGCCUGGAGCAACGACUAUUUCAAAUGAAUUAGAAGGCAUUGGACGGUUAUCUACUAAAGAGCACAUGAAAGGACAAUAGUACAACCACUACUCCACUUUUCCACUAUGUUGG
RNAcentral lists this long non-coding RNA (276 nucleotides) under Medicago truncatula (barrel medic). Its description in RNAcentral is "long non-coding RNA (MTRU_LNC007652)". Lineage: Eukaryota; Viridiplantae; Streptophyta; Magnoliopsida; Fabales; Fabaceae. The record is from RNAcentral.